RNAcentral lists this ribosomal RNA (253 nucleotides) under uncultured bacterium. RNAcentral's name for it is "partial 16S ribosomal RNA". It matches the Rfam family "Bacterial small subunit ribosomal RNA", at positions 524 to 776 of the family's 1533-position model. The record is from RNAcentral.
UACGGAGGGGGCUAGCGUUGUUCGGAAUCACUGGGCGUAAAGCGCACGUAGGCGGCCUGGAAAGUUGGGAGUGAAAUCCCGGGGCUCAACUCCGGAAUUGCUCUCAAAACUUCUAGGCUAGAGACUUGGAGAGGUGGGCGGAAUUCCGAGUGUAGAGGUGAAAUUCGUAGAUAUUCGGAAGAACACCAGAGGCGAAGGCGGCUUUCUGGACCAACACUGACGCUGAGGCGCGAAAGCGUGGGGAGCAAACAGG